AGUGAACGCUGGCGGCAGGCCUAACACAUGCAAGUCGAACGGCAGCACAGUAAGAGCUUGCUCUUACGGGUGGCGAGUGGCGGACGGGGGAGGAAUACAUCGGAAUCUACUUUUUCGUGGGGGACAACGUAGGGAAACUUACGCUAAUACCGCAUACGACGUACGGGUGAAAGCAGGGGAUCUUCGGACCUUGCGCGAUUGAAUGAGCCGAUGUCGGAUUAGCUAGUUGGCGGGGUAAAGGCCCACCAAGGCGACGAUCCGUAGCUGGUCUGAGAGGAUGAUCAGCCACACUGGAACUGAGACACGGUCCAGACUCCUACGGGAGGCAGCAGUGGGGAAUUUUGGACAAUGGGCGCAAGCCUGAUCCAGCCAUACCGCGUGGGUGAAGAAGGCCUUCGGGUUGUAAACCCCUUUUGUUGGGAAAGAAAAGCAGCAGGUUAAUACCCCGCUGUUCUGACGGUACCCAAAGAAUAAGCACCGGCUAACUUCGUG
This 492-nucleotide ribosomal RNA is filed under the name uncultured bacterium. Its description in RNAcentral is "partial 16S ribosomal RNA". It matches the Rfam family "Bacterial small subunit ribosomal RNA", at positions 29 to 507 of the family's 1533-position model. The record is from RNAcentral.